GACGAACGCUGGCGGCGUGCCUAACACAUGCAAGUCGAACGGAAAGGCCCUGCUUUUGUGGGGUGCUCGAGUGGCGAACGGGUGAGUAACACGUGAGUAACCUGUCCUUGACUUUGGGAUAACUUCAGGAAACUGGGGCUAAUACCGGAUAGGAGCUCCUGCUGCAUGGUGGGCGUUGGAAAGUUUCGGUGGUUGGGGAUGGACUCGCGGCUUAUCAGCUUGUUGGUGGGGUAGUGGCUUACCAAGGCUUUGACGGGUAGCCGGCCUGAGAGGGUGACCGGCCACAUUGGGACUGAGAUAGGGCCCGGACUCCUACGGGAGGCAGAAGUGGAGAAUAUUGCAGAGUGGGCGGAAGCCUGAUGCAGCGACGCCGCGCGCGGGAAAACGGCCUUCGGGUUGUAAACCGCUUUCGCCUGUGACGAAGCGUGAGUGACGGUAAUGGGUAAAGAAGCACCGGCUAACUACGUG
RNAcentral lists this ribosomal RNA (468 nucleotides) under uncultured bacterium. RNAcentral's name for it is "partial 16S ribosomal RNA". It matches the Rfam family "Bacterial small subunit ribosomal RNA", at positions 28 to 507 of the family's 1533-position model. The record is from RNAcentral.